Molecule: transfer RNA, 64 nt
Filed under: Ornebius kanetataki
Lineage: Eukaryota; Metazoa; Arthropoda; Insecta; Orthoptera; Mogoplistidae
Description: tRNA-His
Source: RNAcentral
GUUUAGGUAGUUUAUUUAGAAUAUCAAUUUGUGGAAUUGAAGGUAUAUAAAAAUAUUUUAGACU